Molecule: ribosomal RNA, 437 nt
Filed under: uncultured Planctomycetota bacterium
Lineage: Bacteria; Pseudomonadati; Planctomycetota
Description: bacterial SSU rRNA
Rfam family: Bacterial small subunit ribosomal RNA
Source: RNAcentral
AGCGGCGUAAGGGAGAGUAACACGCGGGUACCUACCCUCGGGACCGGGAUAGCUGCGGGAAACUGCAAUUAAUACCGGAUAAUGUCCCAGGACCAAAGGUGUGAUUCCGCCUGAGGAGGGGCCCACGUCCUAUCAGCUAGUUGGUGAGGUAAUGGCUCACAAAGGCUACGACGGGUACGGGGUGUGAGAGCAUGCCCCCGCUCACUGGGACUGAGACACUGCCCAGACACCUACGGGUGGCUGCAGUCGAGAAUCUUCCGCAAUGGGCGAAAGCCUGACGGAGCGACGCCGCGUGCGGGAUGAAGGCCUUCGGGUUGUAAACCGCUGUCAGAGGGGAACAAGUCCAUGGUGGUUCUCUGCCAUGGUUGAGUGAUCCUCAGAGGAAGCGCAGGCUAAGUCCGUGCCAGCAGCCGCGGUAACACGGACUGCGCGAACGU